CGAGCGCAACCCUUGUCCUUAGUUACCAGCACGUUAUGGUGGGCGACUCUAAGGAGGACUGCCGGUGACAAACCGGAGGAAGGUGGGGAGUGACGUCCAAGUCAUCAUGGCCCUUACGGCCUGGGCUACACACGUGCUACAAUGGUCGGUACAAAGGGUUGCCAAGCCGCGAGGUGGAGCUAAUCCCAUAAAACCGAUCGUAGUCCGGAUCGCAGUCUGCAACUCGACUGCGUGAAGUCGGAAUCGCUAGUAAUCGUGAAUCAGAAUGUCACGGUGAAUACGUUCCCGGGCCUU
Molecule: ribosomal RNA, 294 nt
Filed under: uncultured Pseudomonas sp.
Lineage: Bacteria; Pseudomonadati; Pseudomonadota; Gammaproteobacteria; Pseudomonadales; Pseudomonadaceae
Description: partial 16S ribosomal RNA
Rfam family: Bacterial small subunit ribosomal RNA
Source: RNAcentral